This 1372-nucleotide ribosomal RNA is filed under the name uncultured bacterium. Its description in RNAcentral is "bacterial SSU rRNA". It matches the Rfam family "Bacterial small subunit ribosomal RNA", at positions 28 to 1381 of the family's 1533-position model. The record is from RNAcentral.
GAUGAACGCUGGCGGCGUGCCUAAUACAUGCAAGUCGAGCGAACGGACGAGAAGCUUGCUUCUCUGAUGUUAGCGGCGGACGGGUGAGUGACACGUGGAUAACCUACCUAUAAGACUGGGAUAACUUCGGGAAACCGGAGCUAAUACCGGAUAAUAUUUUGAACCGCAUGGUUCAAAAGUGAAAGACGGUCUUGCUGUCACUUAUAGAUGGAUCCGCGCUGCAUUAGCUAGUUGGUAAGGUAACGGCUUACCAAGGCAACGAUGCAUAGCCGACCUGAGAGGGUGAUCGGCCACACUGGAACUGAGACACGGUCCAGACUCCUACGGGAGGCAGCAGUAGGGAAUCUUCCGCAAUGGGCGAAAGCCUGACGGAGCAACGCCGCGUGAGUGAUGAAGGUCUUCGGAUCGUAAAACUCUGUUAUUAGGGAAGAACAUAUGUGUAAGUAACUGUGCACAUCUUGACGGUACCUAAUCAGAAAGCCACGGCUAACUACGUGCCAGCAGCCGCGGUAAUACGUAGGUGGCAAGCGUUAUCCGGAAUUAUUGGGCGUAAAGCGCGCGUAGGCGGUUUUUUAAGUCUGAUGUGAAAGCCCACGGCUCAACCGUGGAGGGUCAUUGGAAACUGGAAAACUUGAGUGCAGAAGAGGAAAGUGGAAUUCCAUGUGUAGCGGUGAAAUGCGCAGAGAUAUGGAGGAACACCAGUGGCGAAGGCGACUUUCUGGUCUGUAACUGACGCUGAUGUGCGAAAGCGUGGGGAUCAAACAGGAUUAGAUACCCUGGUAGUCCACGCCGUAAACGAUGGGUGCUAAGUGUUAGGGGGUUUCCGCCCCUUAGUGCUGCAGCUAACGCAUUAAGCACUCCGCCUGGGGAGUACGACCGCAAGGUUGAAACUCAAAGGAAUUGACGGGGACCCGCACAAGCGGUGGAGCAUGUGGUUUAAUUCGAAGCAACGCGAAGAACCUUACCAAAUCUUGACAUCCUUUGACAACUCUAGAGAUAGAGCUUUCCCCUUCGGGGGACAAAGUGACAGGUGGUGCAUGGUUGUCGUCAGCUCGUGUCGUGAGAUGUUGGGUUAAGUCCCGCAACGAGCGCAACCCUUAAGCUUAGUUGCCAUCAUUAAGUUGGGCACUCUAAGUUGACUGCCGGUGACAAACCGGAGGAAGGUGGGGAUGACGUCAAAUCAUCAUGCCCCUUAUGAUUUGGGCUACACACGUGCUACAAUGGACAAUACAAAGGGCAGCGAAACCGCGAGGUCAAGCAAAUCCCAUAAAGUUGUUCUCAGUUCGGAUUGUAGUCUGCAACUCGACUACAUGAAGCUGGAAUCGCUAGUAAUCGUAGAUCAGCAUGCUACGGUGAAUACGUUCCCGGGUCU